This 335-nucleotide unclassified non-coding RNA is filed under the name soil metagenome. RNAcentral's name for it is "partial contains 5.8S ribosomal RNA, internal transcribed spacer 2, and large subunit ribosomal RNA". The stretch from base 1 to 120 matches the Rfam family "5.8S ribosomal RNA", at positions 35 to 154 of the family's 154-position model. The record is from RNAcentral.
GAUGAAGAACGUAGCGAAAUGCGAUACGUAAUGUGAAUUGCAGAAUUCAGUGAAUCAUCGAAUCUUUGAACGCACAUUGCGCCCGCUAGUAUUCUGGCGGGCAUGCCUGUCCGAGCGUCAUUUCAACCCAUCAAGCUUAGCGCUUGUGUUGGAGCCCUGCGGCCGCCGCAGCCUCCUAAAAUCAGUGGCGGGCUCGCUAUCACGCUGAGUGCAGUAGUAUUCUUCUCACUCCUGUGGUGUAGCGGGUAACCAGCCGUAAACCCCCCCAUCUAUAAAGGUUGACCUCGGAUCAGGUAGGAAUACCCGCUGAACUUAAGCAUAUCAAAAGCGGAGGA